This is a long non-coding RNA of Oryzias sinensis (Chinese medaka), 1832 nucleotides long. The record is from Ensembl. Lineage: Eukaryota; Metazoa; Chordata; Actinopteri; Beloniformes; Adrianichthyidae.
GUCUUGGCUAGUUGAUGCUGGAGCGCGGAGCAGCGAGUCUGUCAGUCCCGCUCUGCAGCAGCUCAGAGCGGCCGCUCAUCAACAUCCUCUCGGCGUUCGCGGAGCCGGAACGCGGUGGGACUCCGAGCCCACGGAGAGCGACACCGCUGCAGCCUCGCCCCCCGUGGGGGGAACACCUCCGUGGACAUGAGGACAUCUGCUGCAGCGACUUGUUCCAGAGGGCGGAGCGGGAAGCCCGGGCGCUGUGGCUUUUCUCCCAGCGAGUGGUGAUGCGGCAGCGGAGCGCCUCCGUCAGAUUCAUCAUGACCUUUUCCAUCACCGAGGGAUCUCAGAGCCUUUUUCUAUCUGGAUUUACCGUCACAGGGAUGAGAUAAUAGUCAGCCUGUCAGUACAUGUUGCUGCAGAAACCCUUGUGGCUCCCGUGAACUCACCCCGCCCCGAGUUAAGUUCGUUUCAUCGGUGGAACUAUGACAACGCCGACUCUGCUGCCACUGUCGGGCCGCAGGAUACCCACUCUGUCGCCGGGCGCCUCUUCCUUCCCCCACCACAGGGCCACUUUGAGGCUCUCCGAGAAGUUCAUCCUUCUCCUCAUACUCAGUGCCUUCAUCACUUUAUGCUUCGGGGCCUUCUUUUUCCUCCCGGACAACUCUAAACACAAGCGCUUUGACUUGGGCUUGGAGGACGUGCUCAUCCCUCACAUCGACUCGCCGAGGGAGGGGAAGCAUUCUCCGGGACAAAUGGUCAUACACGGACAAGGACGGCACGACGAGAACAGACACCGGUAAGAGACGCUCCAUGUAGAGUUCAUGACGGCAGGUCUGCAUCACCGCUGAUGUCCGCUGUACAGCGGGCUGAGCUCAGGUUGGAUUGCCUUUUGGGUCUCCAAGGAGCAUUUUUAGUUUUUUUUUAAUCUUCCUUUGCUGUUUCUAAUCUACUGCUGCAGACUCAAAUGGAUUUUUCUCCCUUUGCACUUAAAGUGUCAGAAAAGCAGACGGAUGGCAAGUAGAGUAGGACAUUACAGGUAGAGUUUUCCUUCAUGUUUCAGUCCUAUAGCACCUUGUUUACCUGUUCAGUUGGUGUAGUUGGUUGUUAGAAAUUGUGGAAGUUUACCUGUCAGAGAGAUGGCUUUAGGGCACACAGAGGUGUUCAUGCUUUGAGUCUGUGUGAAGUUUCCUCUUUUAUUGCUGAAUAGCUGCGUUUCCGUUCACUAGGAAAAUUGCACAAAUUGAGUUUGUGAUAGUAAUUUUGCCUGAUGAAAACGCAACAUUUUCAGAAAAACUCGCAUUUAUUAAAAAAAAAAGAUUUUGUGCUUGGAGGAGGUGAUUUUUGAGGCAGAACAAAAAUGGACAUUUCCAAAAAACUGCAAUGAAAACAUUAAACUAGAAGGAGACGCAUUUCCAGAACAAACUGCAGGUUGAAGGCUACUUUGCUGAAUGAAAAUGAAACUUAAAGAGGAAUAAUUGGGAAAUAAAUACAUAAAGAAAUGAUCAAAGUUGACCAUAAAUAAAGUGAAAACAUCACAAAAACAAAGAUAUUUUUGUGAAAAUGCCAGCGUCGGGUAUCGAACCAGCGAGCUUCUGCACCAAAGAUUCCCCAUGUAUUUCAAUGGAGGCCAAAGAUCCUGGAAUAUCUUGAAAAGUUUAAGGAUAUGAAAAAAAACAAAAGUCACAGCUGGAAGAAGCUGAAAGAGCUGAACAUUUGAAUAGUUGAAUGAUUGAAAUAGAUGAAAAAUUGUAGGAGUUAAGCGCCAAAAAAUGGAGGAAGAUACUAGAAUAAAAGAAAUGUAGAGAAACAGCAAAACGACGUAGCGAUGAGCUUCUGGGUAGGAUCUG